Molecule: long non-coding RNA, 938 nt
Organism: Branchiostoma belcheri (Belcher's lancelet)
Lineage: Eukaryota; Metazoa; Chordata; Leptocardii; Amphioxiformes; Branchiostomatidae
Exons: 5
Source: RefSeq, a predicted model, not a curated record
GGUCGAACUAGGAAAAGGUGCAGUGUGCAAGGUGGUUGUUUUGCAGCUGUCCGAGAUGACAACGUGUGCACAACGUGUGCAGAAACACUAUAAAGACUGAAUCACGAGACACGCAGUCAUUUUCCAACUACGCCACGGCGCCCUUUGUGUUCGUGACCUACCUAGACGCUACGAGGGAAGACAGACAAGAUGCCAGACCCCUGCUGUGCUGACUGUAAGGGAUGUGGCAGUGCCGGCUGCAAGUGUGGCUGUGACUGCUGCAAGUGUUGUGCCUCUUGCCCUGGCUGUGACCCUGGCUGCAACAGUUGUGGCUGUGACUGCUGCAAGUGCUGUGCCUCGUGUGACGGUUGCAAGUCUGGCUGUACCACCUGUAGCUGUGACUGCUGCAAGUGAAGAGAAACAACUUAUGCACACCACAGGACACCGUGGUUGACUGGCUAGUUUGGACAUCAACAGCAUCGUGUACAUUCCAAUAUCUAGCUGGCAUGUUAUACUCUAAAAUCUAACUUCCAAUAUCUUGUAUCUUUAUAUAGGCCACAAAGUAAAGGAUAACUGUCUAUAUCGCGAUAGCACAGCAUGCAUUUUCGACACAAAGUAUAUUUUCUAUCCUUUUAGUUUUAGGAAUUACUUGUGAGAAAAAUUGAAAUCAAACUAUUUAAAAUGUUUUAUUCAGACAGGUUUUAAGAAUUCUGAAAUGUAAUGCUUAUGCUCUAUUUUUUAGCACUGAUGCUUUAAUGAUGCUUUAUUCAGGAAAUCUAAUGUUGCAAAUUAACUGAAGAUCUAGGAAUAAAGAAACAUACACUGCUUUAAAAGCUGAAUAGGACUUCAGUGAAUUGAAACCAUACUUAGUAAUGGGAAAUAUGUAAGAAUUUGACUGAAAUCAGAUGUACUUAUAACUUAAUGUCUGUAUAAAAAUAAAUUUCUUUGUUGCUAUGUCA